RNAcentral lists this ribosomal RNA (305 nucleotides) under uncultured bacterium. Its description in RNAcentral is "bacterial SSU rRNA". It matches the Rfam family "Bacterial small subunit ribosomal RNA", at positions 337 to 634 of the family's 1533-position model. The record is from RNAcentral.
ACCUACGGGACGCAGCAGUGGGGAAUAUUGCGCAAUGGGCGAAAGCCUGACGCAGCGACGCCGCGUGAGGGACGAAGGUCUUCGGAUCGUAAACCUCUGUCAGCAGGGAAGAACGGUCACUGUGCUAAUCAGCAGUGAAUUGACGGUACCUGCAAAGGAAGCACCGGCUAACUCCGUGCCAGCAGCCGCGGUAAUACGGUGGGUGCGAGCGUUAAUCGGAAUUACUGGGCGUAAAGCGCUCGUAGGCGGUAUGUCAAGUCAAGGGUGAAAUCCCCGCGCUCAACGUGGGUACUGCCUUUGAAACU